GAUGAACGCUGGCGGCGUGCCUAAUACAUGCAAGUCGAGCGAACAGACGAGGAGCUUGCUCCUCUGACGUUAGCGGCGGACGGGUGAGUAACACGUGGAUAACCUACCUAUAAGACUGGGAUAACUUCGGGAAACCGGAGCUAAUACCGGAUAAUAUAUUGAACCGCAUGGUUCAAUAGUGAAAGACGGUUUUGCUGUCACUUAUAGAUGGAUCCGCGCCGCAUUAGCUAGUUGGUAAGGUAACGGCUUACCAAGGCGACGAUGCGUAGCCGACCUGAGAGGGUGAUCGGCCACACUGGAACUGAGACACGGUCCAGACUCCUACGGGAGGCAGCAGUAGGGAAUCUUCCGCAAUGGGCGAAAGCCUGACGGAGCAACGCCGCGUGAGUGAUGAAGGUCUUCUGAUCGUAAAACUCUGUUAUUAGGGAAGAACAAAUGUGUAUGUAACUAUGCACGUCUUGACGGUACCUAAUCAGAAAGCCACGGCUAACUACGUG
RNAcentral lists this ribosomal RNA (497 nucleotides) under uncultured bacterium. RNAcentral's name for it is "partial 16S ribosomal RNA". It matches the Rfam family "Bacterial small subunit ribosomal RNA", at positions 28 to 507 of the family's 1533-position model. The record is from RNAcentral.